AUUGAACGCUGGCGGCAUGCUUUACACAUGCAAGUCGAACGGUAACAGGCCUUCGGGUGCUGCCGAGUGGCGAACGGGUGAGUAAUGCAUCGGAACGUACCCAGAGGUGGGGGAUAACGCAGCGAAAGCUGUGCUAAUACCGCAUGUGAUCUGAGGAUGAAAGCGGGGGACCGAGCAGCAAUGUUUGGCCUCGCGCCUUUGGAGCGGCCGAUGUCGGAUUAGCUAGUUGGUGGGGUAAAGGCCUACCAAGGCGACGAUCCGUAGCUGGUCUGAGAGGACGAACAGCCACACUGGAACUGAGACACGGCCCAGACUCCUACGGGAGGCAGCAGUGGGGAAUUUUGGACAAUGGGCGCAAGCCUGAUCCAGCAAUGCCGCGUGCGGGAAGAAGGCCUUCGGGUUGUAAACCGCUUUUGGCAGGAACGAAACGGUGUCCGCUAAUACCGGGCGCUAAUGACGGUACCUGCAGAAUAAGCACCGGCUAACUACGUG
RNAcentral lists this ribosomal RNA (492 nucleotides) under uncultured bacterium. RNAcentral's name for it is "partial 16S ribosomal RNA". It matches the Rfam family "Bacterial small subunit ribosomal RNA", at positions 29 to 507 of the family's 1533-position model. The record is from RNAcentral.